AGGAAUAUUGGUCAAUGGACGAGAGUCUGAACCAGCCAAGUAGCGUGAAGGAUGAAGGUUCUAUGGAUUGUAAACUUCUUUUAUACGGGAAUAAACGGAUCCACGUGUGGAUUUUUGCAUGUACCGUAUGAAUAAGGAUCGGCUAACUCCGUGCCAGCAGCCGCGGUAAUACGGAGGAUCCGAGCGUUAUCCGGAUUUAUUGGGUUUAAAGGGAGCGUAGAUGGGUUGUUAAGUCAGUUGUGAAAGUUUGCGGCUCAACCGUAAAAUUGCAAUUGAUACUGGCAGUCUUGAGUACAGUUGAGGUAGGCGGAAUUCGUGGUGUAGCGGUGAAAUGCUUAGAUAUCACGAAGAACUCCGAUUGCGAAGGCAGCUUACUAACCUGUAACUGACAUUGAUGCUCGAAAGUGUGGGUAUCAAACAGGAUUAGAUACCCUGGUAGUCCACACGGUAAACGAUGAAUACUCGCUGUAGGCGAUAUACAGUCUGCGGCCAAGCGAAAGCAUUAAGUAUUCCACCUGGGGAGUACGCCGGCAACGGUGAAACUCAAAGGAAUUGACGGGGGCCCGCACAAGCGGAGGAACAUGUGGUUUAAUUCGAUGAUACGCGAGGAACCUUACCCGGGCUUAAAUUGCAACCGAAUAUGGCGGAAACGCUAUAGCUAGCAAUAGCGGUUGUGAAGGUGCUGCAUGGUUGUCGUCAGCUCGUGCCGUGAGGUGUCGGCUUAAGUGCCAUAACGAGCGCAACCCUUGCCGAUAGUUACUAACAGGUUAUGCUGAGGACUCUGUCGGGACUGCCAUCGUAAGAUGUGAAGAAGGUGGGGAUGACGUCAAAUCAGCACGGCCCUUACGUCCGGGGCUACACACGUGUUACAAUGGGGGGUACAGCGGGCUGCUACCACGCAAGUGGAUGCCAAUCCCAAAAACCUCUCUCAGUUCGGAUUGAAGUCUGCAACCCGACUUCAUGAAGCUGGAUUCGCUAGUAAUCGCGCAUCAGCCACGGCGCGGUGAAUACGUUCCCG
RNAcentral lists this ribosomal RNA (1018 nucleotides) under uncultured bacterium. Its description in RNAcentral is "bacterial SSU rRNA". It matches the Rfam family "Bacterial small subunit ribosomal RNA", at positions 357 to 1376 of the family's 1533-position model. The record is from RNAcentral.